This is a small nucleolar RNA of Drosophila guanche, 91 nucleotides long. RefSeq annotates it as small nucleolar RNA Me28S-Am2634. Lineage: Eukaryota; Metazoa; Arthropoda; Insecta; Diptera; Drosophilidae. The record is from RefSeq and is a predicted model, not a curated record. The transcript has a single exon.
UUCGUAUCUUUGUGAUGAUUUUACGAGUAGGAAUCUCAUUGAGCUUCAGUCAUUCUUUGCUUUGAAAUUAAUAUCUCUUACUGAUCACAUU